UACAGAGGUGGCAAGCGUUGUUCGGAAUUACUGGGCGUAAAGGGCGCGUAGGCGGUCUUGCAAGUCCUGUGUGAAAUCCCUCGGCUCAACUGAGGAACUGCACAGGAAACUGCUUGGCUUGAGUUCGGGAGAGGGAAGCGGAAUUCCGGGUGUAGCGGUGAAAUGCGUAGAUAUCCGGAGGAACACCGGUGGCGAAGGCGGCUUCCUGGGAAGAUACUGACGCUGAGGUGCGAAAGCGUGGGGAGCAAACAGG
This 253-nucleotide ribosomal RNA is filed under the name uncultured bacterium. RNAcentral describes it as "partial 16S ribosomal RNA". It matches the Rfam family "Bacterial small subunit ribosomal RNA", at positions 524 to 776 of the family's 1533-position model. The record is from RNAcentral.